This 495-nucleotide ribosomal RNA is filed under the name uncultured bacterium. RNAcentral's name for it is "partial 16S ribosomal RNA". It matches the Rfam family "Bacterial small subunit ribosomal RNA", at positions 28 to 507 of the family's 1533-position model. The record is from RNAcentral.
GACGAACGCUGGCGGCGUGCCUAAUACAUGCAAGUAGAACGCUGAAGGAGGAGCUUGCUUCUCUGGAUGAGUUGCGAACGGGUGAGUAACGCGUAGGUAACCUGCCUGGUAGCGGGGGAUAACUAUUGGAAACGAUAGCUAAUACCGCAUAAUAUUAGAUGUUGCAUGACAUUUGCUUAAAAGUUGCAAUUGCAUCACUACCAGAUGGCCCUGCGUUGUAUUAGCUAGUUGGUGGGGUAACGGCUCACCAAGGCGACGAUACAUAGCCGACCUGAGAGGGUGAUCGGCAACACUGGGACUGAGACACGGCCCAGACUACUACGGGAGGCAGCAGUAGGGAAUCUUCGGCAAUGGACGGAAGGCUGACCGAGCAACGCCGCGUGAGUGAAGAAGGUUGUCGGAUCGUAAAGCUCUGUUGUAAGAGAAGAACGAGUGUGAGAGUGGAAAGUUCACACUGUGACGGUAUCUUACCAGAAAGGGACGGCUAACUACGUG